RNAcentral lists this long non-coding RNA (1099 nucleotides) under Salmo trutta (river trout). RNAcentral describes it as "lncRNA (ENSSTUG00000013357.1)". The record is from RNAcentral. Lineage: Eukaryota; Metazoa; Chordata; Actinopteri; Salmoniformes; Salmonidae.
CCUCUCCUCCUGUCCUGUCCAGUACAGUCCUGUCCUCUCACCUGUCCUCUCCUCCUGUCCUGUCCUCUCCUCCUGUCCUCUCCUCCUGUCCUCUCCUCUCCUCCUGUCCUUUCCUCUCCUCCUGUCCUGUCCAGUACAGUCCUGUCCUCUCCUCCUGUCCUCUCCUCCUGUCCUGUCCUCUCCUCCUGUCCUGUCCUCUCCUCCUGUCCUCUCCUCCUGUCCUCUCCUCUCCUCCUGUCCUGUCCUCUCCUCCUGUCCUCUCCUCCUGUCCUCUCCUCCUGUCCUCUCCUCUCGUCCUGUCCUGUCCUCUCCUCCUGUCCUCUCCUCCUGUCCAGUACAGUCCUGUCCUUUCCUCCUGUCCUAUCCUGUUCUGUCCUCUCCUCUCCUCCUGUCCUGUCCUCUCCUCCUGUCCUCUCCUCCUGUCCAGUACAGUCCUGUCCAGUACAGUCCUGUCCUUUCCUCCUGUCCUAUCCUGUUCUGUCCUCUCCUCUCCUCCUGUCCUGUCCUCUCCUCCUGUCCUCUCCUCCUGUCCAGUACAGUCCUGUCCUUUCCUCCUGUCCUAUCCUGUUCUGUCCUCUCCUCUCCUCCUGUCCUCUCCUCCUGUCCUCUCCUCCUGUCCAGUACAGUCCUGUCCAGUACAGUCCUGUCCUUUUUCAUCCUGUCCUAUCCUGUUCUGUCCUCUCCUCUCCUCCUGUCCUGUCCUCUCCUCCUGUCCUCUCCUCCUGUCCAGUACAGUCCUGUCCUUUCCUCCUGUCCUAUCCUGUUCUGUCCUCUCCUCUCCUCCUGUCCUCUCCUCCUGUCCUCUCCUCCUGUCCAGUACAGUCCUGUCCAGUACAGUCCUGUCCUUUUCUCCUGUCCUAUCCUGUUCUGUCCUCUCCUCUCCUCCUGUCCAGUGCUCUCCUCUGCUCUUGUCCUGUCUAGUACAGCCCAGUCUAGUCCUGUCCAGUCCUGGCUACCACAGCAUUGUAUUGAGACAUGUCUAACUAGUAGCCUGCCUGGUUAUUAUUCCCCUGCUUUAGUGUUUUGACCCCCUGGCCAUAUUUCUGAGGCUCAGUGCUCCUGACACAGUCCGUCUGGCAGAUGAGAAUGGGAGGGAGAA